AAUACUCCAAUUUUCUUUCUUCUCAAACUCCAAACCUGUGCCAGGAACUCCUUCGGUCCUUGAGUCCUUCCUCCUCCUCCUCCUCCUCUUAAAACCCUAGCAACAAAAGCAGCGUCUUGUAGUUGUAUCUAUAGUCGGCGCCGCCUCUGCCAACCACCUCUCCUUCUCUACUGCUACUGCUACUGCUGCUGCUUUCUCGCUGGAAGAUUACUUUUCUCGAAAGUAGAGAUGAGUUUAAUUUCUCAAAAUGCCAUUAUCAAAAAUAAUAAAGUGAAGAAGAAGUCUAAGCGGAACAAUGAUGAGAGCGAGGAGCCUUCAUUGUUGGAAGACAGGGAGGAAGUUUUGGAGAAUGAGGGUUUGGAUGGUGAUGCUGCUCUAAGUCUUAAGAAGAGAAAGAAGAGGAAUGAUGCGGAGGAAAAGCGGUUGCUUGUUGAGGAAGAAUUGGAAAUGCAGAAGUUAGGGAAUUUUUUGUUUGGUUCUCUUCAUUCCCCGGUUGAAUUUGGAAAUGUAGUUGAAGAUGAAAAUGAAAAUGGUGGGUUGGAUGUGGAUGACUCUGCAUUGUUUGUCAUGGAUCGCUCUGGUAAUAAAGAUGUGUCGGUUUACGGAGACGAUGAGGGUGAUCAAGUUGACGAAAAUGGUGAUAAGCAAAGGAAGCCUGCUUGGUUGGAUGAUGAGGAGGACACCGUAGUUAAUAUUUCCAAGGUUAAUAGGCUGAGGAAGCUGAGGAAGGAAGAAGAUGAGACUGAAAUAUCAGGUUCUGCGUAUGUGUCAAGGUUGAGGGCUCACCAUGCGAAGCUGAACCCUGGUACAGGUUGGGCCAAUCUUGAUUCAAAGGUCAGAACUUAUGAUUCUGAUGAGGAGUCUGAGGUAGAAAAUGGGGCUGUGGUUGCCUCAGGGUAUGAAAAUGUUGAUGAUAUCCUUAGAACUAAUGAAGAGCUUGUAGUGAAGAGAGGUGCCAAGCUUUUACCUAGAAUCUUGGAGUACUCGAGAUUAGUAGAUGCUAAUGCAGAAGAUCCUUCUAAUGGCCCAAUAAACGCUGUCCAAUUUCACAGAAAUCAUCAGUUGCUCCUUGCUGCUGGAUUAGACCGAAAGCUGAGGUUUUUCCAGAUUGAUGGCAAGAGGAAUAAAAUGAUGGAUUCCAUCUUCAUUGAAGAUUGCCCUAUUAGAAAUGCAUCUUUCUUACCCGAUGGCUCUCAAGUAAUUGUUUCUGGCAGAAGAAAGUUCUUUUACAGCGUCGAUAUAUCCAAGGGAAAUGUGGAUAAGAUUGGGCCACUGACUGGAAGAGAGGAAAAAAGCUUAGAAGUGUUUGCGGUUUCCCCUGAUUCUCGUACUAUAGCCUUUUUAGGAAAUGAAGGUUACAUCUUAUUGGUAUCAGCAAAAACUAAAGAGCUAAUUGGCACCCUUAAAAUGAAUGGAACAGCUCGCUCAAUAGCUUUUACUGAUGAUGGGCAGCAAUUGCUGAGUUCUGGGGGUGAUGGUCAUGUCUACCUUUGGGAUUUAAGAACGAGAACUUGUCUCCAUAAGGGUGUAGACGAGGGCUCCAUUAAUGGCACUGCUCUUUGUACUGCACCUGUAGGGAAUCUAUUUGCAGCCGGCUCAUCAAGUGGAAUAGUUAAUGUUUACAACAAGGAGGAAUUUUUGGGUGGCAAGAGAAAACCAAUCAAAACACUUGAGCAUCUCAGAACCGAAGCAAGUUUCAUGAAGUUCAACCAUGAUGCCCAGAUAUUAGCCAUCUGUUCAACAAUGCAAAAGAGCAGCUUAAAACUGGUCCACAUCCCUUCGUUUACUGUCUUUUCUAAUUGGCCUCCUGCAAGCAAAACACUACACUAUCCAAGAUGUUUGGAUUUUAGUCCCGCUGGUGGUUUCAUGGCUGCAGGGAAUGCGGCUGGAAAUGUUUUGCUGUAUAAGUUGCAUCAUUAUCAGCAAGCAUAAGAUAAUAGGACUGUCUGGAUGUACUGCUGCUCCGUUUUUUCCAAUUUUGCUUUAAGGAAUAGUUUCUCUCUGGUUAUGAGAUCAACAGAAGGUAUUAGUUAGUUUGAAUUUGUAAGUUGGUCUUCGAGACUUGUUUUGGGAUCACAAAGUCUUUGAGACUUCUGAGUUGCUGCUUUUAGAACUUCCAUGCACUUAUCAGUGUAUCAUGAGCUCAUAUAACAAUUUAUUAAAGAAUGAAUUCUGGUGGUUGGACGGUGGUUAAGCAGGCCAAAUAUCUAAUCUACAAACCAAACCCUGGCGUCAUGAAGGUGGUAUACUAUGGAAGAAUUUGCAUUUGCCACUACUUAAGACUGAUCCCACUACUUAAGCCAGGUUCGAGUUUGUCUCAAUUUCAUAUAAGUUGCCUGGUGUGCAUACGCGUGCUUCAUUCUUGAUUGAUUAGUAGGUGAAUUAUUUAUUGUUGUUUAGCAGCAAUGAGUCUCAGGUUUUGAAUUCGCCACACUAAAUAAUAAAUACUACAUGCUAGGCUAGUUUCUAUGCACUAGUGCUCUUUAAUUUGUUAAAUUACUACCAUAUUGUAAAAGUAAUGUGUCUUGCUUCAGUUGCUUAUUUCCUAUCUUGAAUAAAGAUGUUGGUAGUUUCCAUUCGCAAGCUGCUAUGCACCACCACAACUCUUAUUUACUUCAAAUCACUAACCUAUAAAAGCAAGAAGUUGUCUUAUCUAUUCCUAAUGAAUAUUGAAAAGUCUGGUUUACCCCAGCUUCCUUUGUAUUUUUGGCAUUUUCCUUAACGAGUUAACCUACUUAUUUGCCCUUAUAUGUGUUUUACUUUUUUCCUAUUUUCGUUGCUGAGGAGUGCAAGAGCCUUCCUCCGUUCCUCCUCCUCCUACUCUGCUGAUGCUGCAUUUUUCUCUCCAAACCACACACUCUCUCUUCCCUUACUUCCCCUGUUUCCGUUGUUUUUGAGGGUUUAAGGAUCAUUGCAAUCUCAAUCAAUGAACCCUAGAUUUUCAGAUUUUCCAAUUUUCAUCAAUCUCCAUUUUUCAUGAUGCUGUCGGUUAAUGGCAACAUUCGAGGUCUCUGAGGAGUCCAAGUAUGGCUACACUCGCAAGCUGAAAAUGUAUACUUUAGUUGAUCUAAUUUGAUCAUGCUAAUUCAGCUAAAUUGGUUCGUAGUCAAUGGUUCCUUGACUUUGCUGUUUUAGGUAAGUUUUUAGUGUUUUAUUGUUAGUUGAUUUGUGGUAAUUUGGUUGUUUGAAUCAAGCAAACACGAUAAUGAAGUAAUUCAAAUCAAAUCGAAAACCUAAUUUCUAUAAUUGUGCUAAGAAUUCGGUCAAAUGUUGCAAAUUUUUAAUGGCUUGAUAAGCUUUGAAUUUAUGGACUAUUUUCUGGAGUUUUGAUAUAUUAAGUACUUAUUCAGGUAAUGAUACCAUCAUACCAGGGAUACUGGAUCAGUAAGCCAGAGGCCAAUUCCUAAUAUUGACAAGCAAUUGGAGCUGCAUAUUCAGGUUCUGUAUGCUUGAGAACCUCAGUUAUUUGUGUUAGACUGGCACUUUGUUAGUCAGAUUCUCCUGAUUACCACUGUUGUACUAUAGCUUCCCAGUAGGUUGUAUUUGUGUAUUGUCAGUCCUUGUAUGCUUCUGCGCUAUUUAGAAUUGAAAUCAUGGUAUAUCAUCUUGAAGUUGAUUACAUUAAACCUAGAAUGUAUCGUCAUUUGUGUGUAUUCAGUCGGUCUUGGGAAUUUUAGUUAGAGUGACAUAGACGGAGAAAGUACAUUGCCUUUGCUACAUAUUAUAUAAUGAAUGCCUGAAUGGUUCAUUUCUAACUAAGUGUACAUGUUUAGACUGUUUCUCAAAUGAUUAGAUGCACCCCUAGCAACUUGCUACUUUCUCAAAUGAUACAGUUCAGAUGCAUUGACACAGUAAACAACAGCUGGAUGGCAGAAAUAUUUUUAUUUCGUGGCCAACUUGAGGCUCACUUUGACCAAUAGAUCUUACUGCGUUGAACUGAAAUAUUGGCGGUGGGAAAUAUCUUUUAUAUUUUGCAAAAACGUUCAUGGCUGCAAAUAAGAGCUUCUUAUUUCAAUUUGGAUUUUUCUGAAUAAACGUAAUUAGAUAUAGGACGUAUUUGCAGCAGAGCUUUGCUUCUUUUUUAGCUUAGUUUGUUGCUUCAUUAUGUGUCGUCAUUAAUGACCAGAAGAGAAAACUGCUCAUCAGUUGUCAUGUGAACUCAUGCAUCCCAAAAACCGUUUUUAUUUUGUCUGUGAUGUAGUAGCGACCAUCUAGGUUGCAUUAACCAACCAUAGAUACUUGAUUGCCCACUGAUUUUUUUUGCUAAUUAACCAAGGCUCUGUCUGUUUCCUACCUCCAAUAAAUGAUAUGACUAUAUCAUCAGGGAUCUGGGAAAACAACUCCUUGUACAGUAAUUGAUAUUGUUCUUCUGAAAAGCUCAUCUGAGAGAGAAAAAGAGAGCUGCAACUGGUUAGAUGGAGUUCUUACAGAAUGGUAGAGCUAAUAUUGGUUAAGCCAUACAGAUGUGGCAUAUUAGUCAUCACAUGUCAUGUUAGGAGGUAGUGCUGGUUACCUACUAUUUCAGGGAGUUUUUAUUGUUACGAUGUAUGCAGCAGGGGGUUUUACUUUUAAUAUCUAUGCUUUGGGGAUGUAUAAAAAUAAAAAGUCAUUUCGUAUAGUAAGUAUGACCAAACUCAUAUAUGGAGAAAAAGCUUAGGUAAUUGAUGUUCCCUCAAAAAAAAAGCUUAGGUAAUGGAUACAACCUUGAUUGCUAUAAACUCAUCAUGUAGAGCUCCAUAAUUUAUGUGACAGGGGAAGAGUUUAGGUAUCACUAGUUUGGUUUGUCCUCGGGUCUCUGAUACAAUAAUAUGCAACUGUGUGUGCAGAGUCUCUCAUUUUAAAUCUAUUCGUAAACAGCAAAUGAAUGUUUGGUAGAUGUUUUCAUGUUAUUUCUUAUUGCUGAGAAAAUUUCUAAAUGGCUAACUGUUGGUAAAUUUUCUCACACGUUUGCCAUAUGACCUUUUUUUUGCUUGUUUAUGUGAUUGAUAGUCGAUAGACGACAUACAGCGGGAUACAAGUUCCAGGAUAAAGCUAAGGAUGAUAGGAUAAUCAAAGAAGCUGAGUUAGCACUUUCUUUGUAACUCUUUUGCGGAGAGGAAACUGGUAGUAUUUUAAGAUACUUGUUCAGAGUUGGGGUCUAAUGAUCCUUAAUUGCAUUUUCUGCCCUGCUCAUAUCAGUUAAGUUUUUUAUUGUAUCUGUUCUUCUUAGUUGCCAUGGAUUCAGGUCACCUGACGCUGUUCUAUUCUCAGAAGUGUGCUGAUGUUUUGUGUUCUGGGUUGGCUUAAGUCUGUUGGUCCGAGGUAGUGCAGCAAGUUAGUUCAGGUUUGCUGUAUUUUGGGUGGAAGAAAAAGCUGUCAACCAAGCACCAGUUAGUGGUCCAAAGCAUACACACACUAUACCAGCACAUGCCACCAAAUGUGUACCGGGCAGUUACAUCACACAGUUCAGUGAUGAUAUUUAAGCAACACUAAAUCAGGCUUUAGAUUGGAUGGGUAAAUUGUGCAGUGUGUGUAGUUGUCAUAAUGCACCUUGCUUAAUACUCCGCAAUUUGCUUCAUUUUGUAGUGAACACAGAACAUUGUUUGUUGAAAAUAUUCCUGUUAAUUUCAUA
Molecule: RNA transcript, 5611 nt
Organism: Spinacia oleracea (spinach)
Lineage: Eukaryota; Viridiplantae; Streptophyta; Magnoliopsida; Caryophyllales; Amaranthaceae
Gene name: U3 small nucleolar RNA-associated protein 18 homolog
Exons: 5
Source: RefSeq, a predicted model, not a curated record